AAUGUUCUGCUAAGCAGACGCCAUCAUCUGCCAAUCCUCGCAGCGCUCCGCGUCCUCGAUCCCGCGGCCCCGCCUGUGAUUUCCGGAAAGAUUCCACCCGAAUCAUGCCUUAUCAGGAAGAAUGGGUCAGUUCAAAAAGAAAAAAACGGAUCGUAGCAAGCGCCGCCGCUCCUCCCGAUCGCCCUGAGUCGACCCCGCCUCCGGUCGCCGCCCACGCACCUGCAAGCCGCCGCCGACGUCCUUUGCCGGGCUCCACCGGACCGUCCCGCGCGACUGCCGGCCUCCUCCCGACCAGACCAACGAUGGCGACGACCGGAUCUGACCGGCCCCCUCCGUUUCCGCCUCGCCUAGCCGCACCACUCAUCCGCCCCACAUCUCCCAGCCAGCCCACCGCCCCCUCCCUGUCGAGCCCCCUGGUGGUGGACGGUGACAUCUCACCUGGACUGGAUUGGAGAGUUGCAUCCAAUCAGGCCUCCCUCCUCUCCACUAAGUGCAUCUGAUUCUGAACACAGAGUUGUUCACGGUAAUUUUCAAUUCUCUGACACAAGCCAUUUGUGUGAGCGCUAAUUAACUUAUAUGGUAAGACUCUAUGGGAGGCUCCGACAAUAAAACUAUUUUAGAAUACACGGCAAUAUUUUACUAUAUGAAGUGAAAAUGUACAAGUUGUAGAUGGACAACUAUGGCAGCUCUUCUAUACAGUUAUUUACUGUCCAGCGAGGCCCUCAGAGGAUAUCUAAAGAAGUGAGAAUGUACACCUUGUUUUUCUAGGCGAACAUGACUUGGAUGAGUCAAUAGCAUAGUAUCCAUAGUUAUCUAAAAAAGGAAGUGUCCCAGGCAACAAGAUAAAUUGUUCUGAUGUCCAAUGCAUUGAAGCUAUAAUGCAUAUAUGCUUAGUAAAUUGUUUAGAUUUGUCUGAGACUAAUAAUGACCAACUUAGUGAAUUGUUAAACCUAAAAUUUUGUGUUUUCCAUUUAACACAGUGAAUUGUUUGCACAAUUCAGUUCCGUGUUGAUUGAAUGGACGUGACAUGAUGUUUUCUCCAUGUAACGGACUGAAGUGGAUUGACAUGGUUUCUGUCCAUCAUGCAGUUAUGUGCUAUUCUUCCUUGCUGCAGUAUUGCGCAUCUUUGUUGUGACUCCAUGAAUAUGAAAGCUAUAUUUACUCCUAAGCUAUGAGUGUCCUCUAACUUCCUUCCAUGAGAGGUAUUUGCUCUCAGUCCCGGCCAUCCUUAUUACGAGGGAUGCAACAAGGUUCAAUGGAUCAUGACGUUUGGACUAGAUUUGAAUCUGUAUCUACCAAAUCUGUGCGUACAUUUUUAUGCUAUAAAUUUCUUUUUCUUUCAGUAUCCUAUUGAAGUUCUAUCGGCCAACAGGUGCAUUGCACUGUUGAGGAGACACAUGCAUUUGUAUUCGAUAUUGAAGCGAGCCUGACACCCUGAAAGAACUAUACAAUGAUAUUUGGCUAUUGCUUUCAGUAUUAGAGAAGCAUAGAAACAGAACUGCAGGGCUUACUGUAUUUUUAUGUGGCAGUCCUCUAUGCCAUCAUGCCAUACUGUUUAUUUUGAGCAACCUUUCUAUGGUAUUUUGUUGGACAAAUUUUAGUGUAAUCUCAAGCACCUCAAUAUAUGGUAAACAACUGCAUGCUUGGGUAUA
Triticum urartu is the source of this 1652-nucleotide long non-coding RNA. RefSeq lists it as uncharacterized. NCBI's taxonomy places the organism in Eukaryota, Viridiplantae, Streptophyta, Magnoliopsida, Poales, Poaceae. The record is from RefSeq and is a predicted model, not a curated record.